UUGUUCUUAAAAAGGUACAGGAUCGGUUUUAGAAAUGUGAAGCAUAUUAUUUUAGUUUCACUACUGUUUCACUGUCUAUGCUGUGUUUAUGACUUCAUAUAUGUAAUCACCUUCUUUAUAAUCUUUCAUGUACAGCCAAAUAAGACAAGUUCUACUCUUGAAGGUGAGAAAAAUCAUAUGUUUGAUUGAUGUACCUUCCUUCAGAUAACAUCUACUAUUAAAUUUUUGGUUUCCUAAACGUCCAUAACUUUGUUCAGUCAACAUUCAAUGCAUUAACUAUGGAAAAAGUUAGAGGUAUGAAUCCUUCAAUUCUCUUACUUUGCUUCAAACUCACAGUACUGAAAUACUAUUAUUAUCAGCUUUACUGUGCCUGAAAUGAAUAUGCCUCUUUCUCAUAACAAAAAAAAAAAAAAAAGAUAGACAGGAUUCAUCAUGCCUUUUCAGAAACUGCUUUUCCUUCACCACCCUUCAAAAGGGUGCUACUUAAUAAGGAUGAACCUCUCAUAGAUUCAUGUAAGCUCCAGAAAAUUUGAACUGUUAUUUUGGGGUGUCUAUAAAUGAAUGAGAACAGGAUUGAUUCAUGUGUAGGACGGAUUCAACAAAGCUAUGGUCUAAAUGGUGAUUGGAACAGAGAAG
Molecule: long non-coding RNA, 636 nt
Filed under: Glycine max (soybean)
Lineage: Eukaryota; Viridiplantae; Streptophyta; Magnoliopsida; Fabales; Fabaceae
Description: long non-coding RNA (GMAX_LNC000108)
Source: RNAcentral